This is a ribosomal RNA of 600 nucleotides. It matches the Rfam family "Bacterial small subunit ribosomal RNA", at positions 78 to 692 of the family's 1533-position model.
GCUUGCUGGGUGGAUUAGUGGCGAACGGGUGAGUAACACGUGAGUAACCUGCCCUUAACUCUGGGAUAAGCCUGGGAAACUGGGUCUAAUACCGGACAGGAGCGUCCACCGCAAGGUGGGUGUUGGAAAGAUUUAUCGGUUUUGGAUGGACUCGCGGCCUAUCAACUUGUUGGUGAGGUAAUGGCUCACCAAGGCGACGACGGGUAGCCGGCCUGAGAGGGUGACCGGCCACACUGGGACUGAGACACGGCCCACACUCCUACUGGAGGCAGCAGUGGGGAAUAUUGCACAAUGGGCGCAAGCCUGAUGCAGCGACCCCGCGUGAGGGAUGACGGCCUUCGGGUUGUAAACCUCUAUCAGUAGGGAAGAAGCGAAUGUGACGGUACCUGCAGAAGAAGCACCGGCUAACUACGUGCCAGCAGCCGCGGUAAUACGUAUGGUGCGAGCGUUAUCCGGAAUUAUGGGGCGUAAAGAGCUCGUAGGCCGUUUGUCGCGUCUGUCGUGAAAGUCCGGGGCUUAACCCCGGAUCUGCGGUGGGUACGGGCAGACUAGAGUGCAGUAAGGGAGACUGGAAUUCCUGGUGUAGCGGUGGAAUGCGCA